AUGAAGAGGGAGAGGACGGAGACGGCGAUGUCGAUGUGCUUCACGGCGAGCGAUCCUGCACGCGCGGUACAGGUAGUCGAGCGACUUGCCCACGUCACCGCCGCCGCCUCUGGCUGCCUGACGGGGCUUGCUGGAGCCGGACUUGGCGGUGGCGGUGGUGUCCGGGUCGUCGGAGAGGUCGACCUUGGCGAGGGCCUCGGUGGCGGCCGCGACCGGGUCCGGGUCGUCCCUGUCAGGGCUGCUGUCCGGCUAGGAGGUGGAGGAGUCGGGGGUCUUGCCGGGGACGGGGGCCUUGCCUCUGCCGAGGCACUCGACGCAGCGCGGGGUGAGGUGCUCCUCCAACAGCUUGAUGGCCAUGACGCGGUCGAGGGCAUGGGCCUGGGAUCUGGGGCGGACCGGGAACUGCUGCGUGAGCAGCGCAUCGUGGCGUCGGCGUCGGCGUCGGCGUACGCGUCAGAGGUUGGAGGCGAGCUCGCCGAGCGUGGCGUCCGCGUCCGCAGCGGUGGCGGUGGGGGCGCCGUCGACAGAUUUAAUUCAGGCGGGGGGUGA
RNAcentral lists this ribosomal RNA (549 nucleotides) under Triticum aestivum (bread wheat). Its description in RNAcentral is "partial small subunit ribosomal RNA". The record is from RNAcentral. Lineage: Eukaryota; Viridiplantae; Streptophyta; Magnoliopsida; Poales; Poaceae.